Herpailurus yagouaroundi (jaguarundi) is the source of this 149-nucleotide long non-coding RNA. RefSeq lists it as uncharacterized. The record is from RefSeq and is a predicted model, not a curated record. The transcript is spliced from 2 exons. Lineage: Eukaryota; Metazoa; Chordata; Mammalia; Carnivora; Felidae.
GGGUUGAUGAAGGUAGGUGGGUGGGGGAUGGGCUAGAUGGGUGAUGAGUAUUAAGUAUGGCCUUUGUUGUGAUGUGCACUGGGUGUUAUAUGUAAGUGAUGAAUCACUGAUUUUUACUUCUGAAACCAAUAUUGCACUGUAUGUUAACU